AUUGGAUAUGGUGGAGACCUCUACUGGCGGAGAGGGAUGGAGCCGCUGCAAAUCUAAACACUAUUAAUGGCAGUGGCCAUGUUUAUUGAUGUAAGUCCUAUCCCAGUAGGACUGACUUCCUUGUGAGAAGAGGAAGAGAUGGCAGGAGAGUACAGAGCAGAGGCUCUAGGAGAUACAGGUAUGAGGAGUAUCUGGAAGAUAAGGAAAAGAGCCUCAAGAAGAUUGUUGCUUUGGAGUUCAAGCCUCUAAUAUGAAACCUUCAAGGUAACGUGACUGCAACGUUCUCACAAAGCAGCCAAUG
This is a long non-coding RNA of Grammomys surdaster, 301 nucleotides long. RefSeq lists it as uncharacterized. The transcript is spliced from 3 exons. Lineage: Eukaryota; Metazoa; Chordata; Mammalia; Rodentia; Muridae. The record is from RefSeq and is a predicted model, not a curated record.